RNAcentral lists this ribosomal RNA (1474 nucleotides) under Helicobacter pylori. RNAcentral describes it as "bacterial SSU rRNA". It matches the Rfam family "Bacterial small subunit ribosomal RNA". The record is from RNAcentral. Lineage: Bacteria; Pseudomonadati; Campylobacterota; Epsilonproteobacteria; Campylobacterales; Helicobacteraceae.
AGAGUUUGAUCCUGGCUCAGAGUGAACGCUGGCGGCGUGCCUAAUACAUGCAAGUCGAACGAUGAAGCUUCUAGCUUGCUAGAAGUGGAUUAGUGGCGCACGGGUGAGUAACGCAUAGGUCAUGUGCCUCUUAGUUUGGGAUAGCCAUUGGAAACGAUGAUUAAUACCAGAUACUCCCUACGGGGGAAAGAUUUAUCGCUAAGAGAUCAGCCUAUGUCCUAUCAGCUUGUUGGUAAGGUAAUGGCUUACCAAGGCUAUGACGGGUAUCCGGCCUGAGAGGGUGAACGGACACACUGGAACUGAGACACGGUCCAGACUCCUACGGGAGGCAGCAGUAGGGAAUAUUGCUCAAUGGGGGAAACCCUGAAGCAGCAACGCCGCGUGGAGGAUGAAGGUUUUAGGAUUGUAAACUCCUUUUGUUAGAGAAGAUAAUGACGGUAUCUAACGAAUAAGCACCGGCUAACUCCGUGCCAGCAGCCGCGGUAAUACGGAGGGUGCAAGCGUUACUCGGAAUCACUGGGCGUAAAGAGCGCGUAGGCGGGAUAGUCAGUCAGGUGUGAAAUCCUAUGGCUUAACCAUAGAACUGCAUUUGAAACUACUAUUCUAGAGUGUGGGAGAGGUAGGUGGAAUUCUUGGUGUAGGGGUAAAAUCCGUAGAGAUCAAGAGGAAUACUCAUUGCGAAGGCGACCUGCUGGAACAUUACUGACGCUGAUUGCGCGAAAGCGUGGGGAGCAAACAGGAUUAGAUACCCUGGUAGUCCACGCCCUAAACGAUGGAUGCUAGUUGUUGGAGGGCUUAGUCUCUCCAGUAAUGCAGCUAACGCAUUAAGCAUCCCGCCUGGGGAGUACGGUCGCAAGAUUAAAACUCAAAGGAAUAGACGGGGACCCGCACAAGCGGUGGAGCAUGUGGUUUAAUUCGAAGAUACACGAAGAACCUUACCUAGGCUUGACAUUGAGAGAAUCCGCUAGAAAUAGUGGAGUGUCUAGCUUGCUAGACCUUGAAAACAGGUGCUGCACGGCUGUCGUCAGCUCGUGUCGUGAGAUGUUGGGUUAAGUCCCGCAACGAGCGCAACCCCCUUUCUUAGUUGCUAACAGGUCAUGCUGAGAACUCUAAGGAUACUGCCUCCGUAAGGAGGAGGAAGGUGGGGACGACGUCAAGUCAUCAUGGCCCUUACGCCUAGGGCUACACACGUGCUACAAUGGGGUGCACAAAGAGAAGCAAUACUGCGAAGUGGAGCCAAUCUUCAAAACGCCUCUCAGUUCGGAUUGUAGGCUGCAACUCGCCUGCAUGAAGCUGGAAUCGCUAGUAAUCGCAAAUCAGCCAUGUUGCGGUGAAUACGUUCCCGGGUCUUGUACUCACCGCCCGUCACACCAUGGGAGUUGUGUUUGCCUUAAGUCAGGAUGCUAAACUAGCUACUGCCCACGGCACACACAGCGACUGGGGUGAAGUCGUAACAAGGUAACCGUAGGUGAAC